RNAcentral lists this small RNA (77 nucleotides) under Klebsiella pneumoniae. Its description in RNAcentral is "isrK Hfq binding RNA". It matches the Rfam family "isrK Hfq binding RNA". The record is from RNAcentral. RNAcentral also lists the same sequence under 1 other name. Lineage: Bacteria; Pseudomonadati; Pseudomonadota; Gammaproteobacteria; Enterobacterales; Enterobacteriaceae.
GCAUCGGCAAAAUCCGGUGCCGGGAUUGGUCUCCCGGAUUACUACAAAGGCGCACACACCGCGCGAGCGGUUUUUUU